CCUACGGGAGGCAGCAGUGAGGAAUAUUGGUCAAUGGCCGCAGGGCUGAACCAGCCAAGUCGCGUGAGGGAUGAAGGUCCUAUGGAUUGUAAACCUCUUUUGUCAGGGAGCAAAGGGCGCCACGUGUGGCGCCUUGCGCGUACCUGAAGAAAAAGCAUCGGCUAACGCCGUGCCAGCAGCCGCGGUAAUACGGGGGAUGCGGGCGUUAUCCAGAUUUAUUGGGUUUAAAGGGUGCGCAGGCGGAAUUUCAAGUCAGCGGUAAAAUUUCGGGGCUCAAACCCGUCGGGCCGUUGAAACUGGCGGUCUUGAGUGAGCGAGAAGUAGGCGGAAUGCGUGGUGUAGCGGUGAAAUGCAUAGAUAUCACGCAGAACUCCGAUUGCGAAGGCAGCAUACCGGCGCUCAACUGACGCUCAUGCACGAAAGCGUGGGUAUCGAACAGGAUUAGAUACCCGGGUAGUC
This 459-nucleotide ribosomal RNA is filed under the name uncultured bacterium. Its description in RNAcentral is "partial 16S ribosomal RNA". It matches the Rfam family "Bacterial small subunit ribosomal RNA", at positions 338 to 795 of the family's 1533-position model. The record is from RNAcentral.